RNAcentral lists this ribosomal RNA (549 nucleotides) under uncultured bacterium. Its description in RNAcentral is "bacterial SSU rRNA". It matches the Rfam family "Bacterial small subunit ribosomal RNA", at positions 9 to 571 of the family's 1533-position model. The record is from RNAcentral.
GAGUUUGAUCAUGGCUCAGGAUCAACGCUGGCGGCGUGCUUCAGACAUGCAAGUCGAACGCGAAAGUUUCCUUCGGGAAGCGAGUAGAGUGGCGCACGGGUGAGUAACACGUAAGUAAUCUACCUUUGGGUGGGGAAUAACUCAGGGAAACUUGAGCUAAUACCGCAUAAUGCAGCGGCUCCUUAUGGAGACAGUUGUUAAAGAAUUUAUUCGCCUAAAGAGGAGCUUGCGGCAGAUUAGCUAGUUGGUAAGGUAAUGGCUUACCAAGGCAACGAUCUGUAGCCGACCUGAGAGGGUGGUCGGUCACACUGACACUGAAUAACGGGUCAGACUCCUACGGGAGGCAGCAGUCGGGGAUUUUGGGCAAUGGGCGAAAGCCUGACCCAGCAACGCCGCGUGAAGGAUGAAGUAUUUCGGUAUGUAAACUUCGUAAGAAUAGGAAGAAUCAAUGACGGUACUAUUUGUAAGCUCCGGCUAACUACGUGCCAGCAGCCGCGGUAAUACGUAGGGGGCAAGCGUUGUUCGGAUUUACUGGGCGUAAAGGGCGCG